This 71-nucleotide transfer RNA is filed under the name Camelus bactrianus (Bactrian camel). It matches the Rfam family "tRNA". From Rfam's summary of the family: Transfer RNA (tRNA) molecules are approximately 80 nucleotides in length. Their secondary structure includes four short double-helical elements and three loops (D, anti-codon, and T loops). The record is from Rfam by way of RNAcentral. Lineage: Eukaryota; Metazoa; Chordata; Mammalia; Artiodactyla; Camelidae. RNAcentral also lists the same sequence under 2 other names.
GUGGGUAUAGCUCAGUGGUGGAGCACAUGUUUGGCUGCACAAGGUCCUGGGUUCAAUCCCUGGUGCCUCCA